UUUCAUGAUAGAAGAUCACAGUUUGUUCCCCCGAUUACUGCGUUGAUUCAAUAUCGAUAUCUGAUGCCACUGCAAAAAAGAAUUCAAUUCGCUUCACUAAUUUGCAUCGGCGUUUAAUUGCCAUCGCUAAAGCUUACUCUUUCGCGACAGAAAAAUUUGACCGUCGCAAUUGUAUAGAGAUUUUGCGACCGUAUUAACUGCCGUCGCCCCUAAUGGUCGCCAACCACUAUGAAUUUACUUCGGCAAGCAUUAGUCGUCGCAAGUUUUUAACAGUUCGCUACUACAAAACACUUGCUGUUGCUUUCGGGUAGUUAUCUGAACGAUUCUAUCUCUUUUAAUCAAAGAAAACUUCUUUUCUUUCUGUGCGCUGCUCUCUUUCUUCUUUGACCCCAUGACUCCAUCUCGAUCCGACACUGAUGAUUACUUUCAGAUUUCCUCUCUAGAUCUGCCAAAUUCGUAGCAGAAUGUAACCACUGACUAAUUGCUUCGAUUUCGGUCCUGUCAAGUUUACCAGGCUAUCUACAAACCAAUUGUUCCUCUCAAGAUCCUUCCUCUGGGUGAGAAAAAAAGAGAGGAAAAGUGAUGGGACCAAAACCAAUGUUGAGAGGAACAAAGAGGGGAACAAGUGAACAGGCAAUUGGGCAAAGAAGAAAUAAAUCUGAUUGUAUUUUUUCGGUGGACAUCAGUAUAAUGCGGCUAAAUCAAAGAAAUCGAAAACAAAGAACUUAAUUGGGAAAGGUGGGCAAGCAGAAGCUCACAUUAGCCACCCCAAUGCUGUUAAAUUGCUUGGAUUUGGCAUCGCUGGUGUUUGCAAACAGAGAUAAAGACAAUAUUUUAGCAGGGUAGAUGGAUGAUAAUGAGUAUUCCCUUUCAAAAAUUUGGAGUAGAGACAUACAGUGUUGAAAAGGGAUUCACUCUAUUACAUUUUUGCUCUAAAUCCCUGUGUAUAGAACCGACAUGUCCAGCUGCUUUCCAAUAAGAGAAGCCUUCAUCAAAGUCACCAUCUACUGUUACGAAAUAUCAGGCUUAUCCAUCACAAUCAACAUCACCGAAGACUGGCUAAAAUUCCCCAUUCAUACAAUCAAUUGAUUUCAAUUACGAAAUUAUCUACCUUCGUCUUUCUACGUAGAUUAAUCAAUUGAUGUUGAAAACUUUGUUCCCUGUGAUAAUAGAUUUUGCUGUUCAUUCAUUUGUUCUUUGUCAUUGGAUGGGUUGACUUCUCUUAUAAUUGCUAAAAGGGUCUUUGCUAUUUAUUUUUUUUUACUGAGAUUAGUCUGAAAAGGUAUUGUAUAUGAUGAUACUAAUAUAUUUUUUCGCUUUUAAUUGGUAAACUUUCAGUUCCUAAUUGAAGAAUAGUAGUGAUAUGAAACGUGAUUUGAUUUGUAUCAGUGAUAGUACUUAAUUUGAAUCCUUUCUAUAGAAUAGUUUACACCAUAUCUAUCUAUGUCAGCUAAUAGCUUUAAGCAAGGAUGUCAUGCCUUAUUGUAAUAAAAUGCAAUCACUGUUUUUUGGUCUACUGGAAAGAAGCAUAUGAGGGAUCUCUGGUUGUUGCAACUGGUCUAAUACUUGGGUUCAUACUGACUGAUAGUAUAGCAGAAAAAUAAACAUAAAUUUGGAAUAUACUAGCUAGAUAGUAAUGUUUGUUUAUUUAUUCAGGUUGGCUACCUAUGAUCUAUCUGAGCUGCAAAUUGAGGGUGAUGCAAAUUGCCAGUUUCGAGCAAUAGCUGAUCAGUUUUUCGCAAUCCAAACUACCAUAAGCAUGUUAGAAAGCAGAAAUUAGUGAUCAAGACAAGGAGCAUCGAGUUCAUGCCAUUCUAUCUUUCUCCUGCAACCUUCUUGAUCAGUCUCUCUUUCUUUGCAUACGGACUUUUCAGAGAAGAUCCAUUCAUAUAUGUUUGACGAAUCUGUGAAUGUCAAGCAGCUUGAGAACAUAUUGUGAUCCAUGUCAACUUCCACUAUCGGAUAGCCUAUCCGCAGCAAAGCACGGGCACGCUUUCUAGUUUUCUUUUUUUCUUUGGUUGAUGAUAAGUGUUGUUCAAUUGAUCAAACAUGUUUAUCAACUAUAUAUGUAUUUGAAUCUGGUAUUCAUGUUUUGGUGCAUUUUAUAUAAAAUUUAUUAUUUGGCUUC
RNA transcript from Rosa chinensis, 2128 nucleotides. It is a transcript of the gene named bidirectional sugar transporter SWEET1a-like, with no coding region annotated. The transcript has 7 exons. The record is from RefSeq and is a predicted model, not a curated record. Lineage: Eukaryota; Viridiplantae; Streptophyta; Magnoliopsida; Rosales; Rosaceae.